RNAcentral lists this long non-coding RNA (1098 nucleotides) under Piliocolobus tephrosceles (Ugandan red Colobus). Its description in RNAcentral is "lncRNA (ENSPTEG00000011238.1)". The record is from RNAcentral. Lineage: Eukaryota; Metazoa; Chordata; Mammalia; Primates; Cercopithecidae.
UAAAACUAAGUAUACAUUUUAAAAUUUUUGAAAAUGUUAAAUUAAUGAUAUUGGAAGCGUUUGUUCAAAAGGUAGAUCAGUUGGUACAGUUGCAACAACACCAUGUUGAACUAAAAAAAAAAAAUCGAAACAAUUUAGUAUUAACGUAUGAACAUUUACGAACAAAAAAAUUUUUUACUCCCUUUAAGGAAAACGACAAAAUUUCAGACCUACACAUAUUCGACUUAAUCGAGUUUAUAAACAAAAGUUUACAUACAAACGUUAAUAACAAAAGUAAACUUGUAUAUUUAAACGAAACUGUUAAUAGCACAAAUAUAUGUUCUGAACAUGUCGAAGAAAAAAAUAUGAAAACUGUUUUAAAUGAAAAAGAAAAAAAUAAAAAAGCAAAUGAUAAACAUGUAAACAAUUCAGUUGAUGUGGUUAGCCAAACAAAUUCACCUGAACAUGUGAAUAAUGUAUUUGAAAAAAAAAAAAAAAAACAUAACUCAGCCAAAUGGUUGAAAGAGGGCCAAAAAAACGAAUAUAAGAAUGACCCGUAUAAAAGUGGCCCGUAUAAAAGUGGUCCAUAUAAAAGAAGUACUUAUCGACUUGGAAAAUGUGAGGGUCAUAAAGAUGUAGCAAGAACGGAUGAAAUUUGUAAAGAUGAAAUUAAAUUUUUUUCUUAUAACAAAAAAGUAAAUACGUUAAAUGUAUAUAAGGAAAUUUAUGAAAAAUCUGCUGAAUAUAAGAAUACACGUUUUUAUCAACAAAUGAAAGAUGUGAAUGGACAUGUGAAUGAAUGUACGACUGUUAGUACAUCGCAUAAUUCUAAUCAUACUGUGGAGGAUUCAAAAAAUGUGAAAACUGACAUUUUACAAAAUGACACUCUUCAUGGUAGUGUUACAAAUGACAGCUCAAGUGGUAGUGCAAAUAAAAUGACACCAAAAUGUAGCCACAAUAACCGUCAUACAUUAAAAGAAUCCAUUGUUAAUGUUUUUUUAUCAAUUUGUACAUUUAAUUAUGAUAAUAAGUAUUAUAAACACAUGAAAUUAAUUUAUUAUUCUAAUUUUUAUUUUUACAAUCCUUUGCUUUUAUAUCAAUAUUUUCAAUUCAUUCCAC